AGAGGAACAAAGAAAUCCAGAGGAGAAGGGAAAGAAACAAUAAUUUACGUUAGCAAACCAUCAGGAUUCUGAACACAAAGCUACUGCUUAUGCAAAAUUCUAUAACCACUGUGUGUGUGAUGGAUGCAAACACAAGCCUUUGCCAUGCCCAUCAAUGCAAGGGUGCAGAGCAGUCCUGCCGAGGCUGGACAGCAAAGCUAUCUGGGCAUGGCUAGCACGCAUCCUGCCAGCCAAACCUGCCGCGCUGAUCCUGAACCUGGAGUGAGCUGGGUCAGCUGCACCUCCUGCCUUGGGUUACAGGGAAAUGCCAUGCAGCAGCACCCCAUGACCUGCUGUUUUAGGGAGAU
Non-coding RNA from Cyanistes caeruleus (blue tit), 347 nucleotides. Lineage: Eukaryota; Metazoa; Chordata; Aves; Passeriformes; Paridae. The record is from RefSeq and is a predicted model, not a curated record.